AGAGCGAACGCUGGCGGCAGGCUUAACACAUGCAAGUCGAGCGGGCGUAGCAAUACGUCAGCGGCAGACGGGUGAGUAACGCGUGGGAACGUACCUUUUGGUUCGGAACAACACAGGGAAACUUGUGCUAAUACCGGAUAAGCCCUUACGGGGAAAGAUUUAUCGCCAAAAGAUCGGCCCGCGUCUGAUUAGCUAGUUGGUGAGGUAACGGCUCACCAAGGCGACGAUCAGUAGCUGGUCUGAGAGGAUGAUCAGCCACAUUGGGACUGAGACACGGCCCAAACUCCUACGGGAGGCAGCAGUGGGAAUAUUGGACAAUGGGCGCAAGCCUGAUCCAGCCAUGCCGCGUGAGUGAUGAAGGCCCUAGGGUUGUAAAGCUCUUUUGUGCGGGAAGAUAAUGACGGUACCGCAAGAAUAAGCCCCGGCUAACUUCGCGCCAGCAGCCGC
Molecule: ribosomal RNA, 447 nt
Filed under: uncultured bacterium
Lineage: Bacteria
Description: SSU rRNA
Rfam family: Bacterial small subunit ribosomal RNA
Source: RNAcentral